GCUGCAGGCCACCUUAUCGCUGCCGUGUUUGGCACGGGAGAGGAAAGUCCGGACACCGUAGUGCAACAUAGCGGGUAACGCCCGUCCGCCGAAAGGCGAGGACCAGUGCAACAGAAAGCAAGUACAGUUAGGCUGUAGUGAAACCAGGUAAACUCUAUGUGGUGCAACGUCAUGUAUACCAACGCUUGAGGGUUGCACGCCCAAGUUGGAGGGUAGGCGGUUAGACCUUAAAAGUAAUUUUAAGGCUAGAUAAAUGAUAAGGACCCAUUUUGGGAACAGAAUCCGGCUUAUGGCCUGCUUUUUUG
RNAcentral lists this RNase P RNA (305 nucleotides) under Croceivirga radicis. RNAcentral describes it as "Bacterial RNase P class A". It matches the Rfam family "Bacterial RNase P class A". From Rfam's summary of the family: Ribonuclease P (RNase P) is a ubiquitous endoribonuclease, found in archaea, bacteria and eukarya as well as chloroplasts and mitochondria. Its best characterised activity is the generation of mature 5'-ends of tRNAs by cleaving the 5'-leader elements of precursor-tRNAs. The record is from Rfam by way of RNAcentral. Lineage: Bacteria; Pseudomonadati; Bacteroidota; Flavobacteriia; Flavobacteriales; Flavobacteriaceae.